RNAcentral lists this ribosomal RNA (253 nucleotides) under uncultured bacterium. Its description in RNAcentral is "partial 16S ribosomal RNA". It matches the Rfam family "Bacterial small subunit ribosomal RNA", at positions 524 to 776 of the family's 1533-position model. The record is from RNAcentral.
UACGUAGGGUGCGAGCGUUGUCCGGAAUUAUUGGGCGUAAAGAGCUUGUAGGUGGUUUGUCGCGUCUGCUGUGAAAAUCCGAGGCUCAACCUCGGACUUGCAGUGGGUACGGGCAGACUAGAGUGUGGUAGGGGAGACUGGAAUUCCUGGUGUAGCGGUGGAAUGCGCAGAUAUCAGGAGGAACACCGAUGGCGAAGGCAGGUCUCUGGGCCGAUAUUGACGCUGAGGAGCGAAAGCGUGGGGAGCGAACAGG